Molecule: long non-coding RNA, 1663 nt
Organism: Chelonia mydas (Green sea turtle)
Lineage: Eukaryota; Metazoa; Chordata; Testudines; Cheloniidae
Exons: 3
Source: RefSeq, a predicted model, not a curated record
GUUGAAUGAAAAAGGAUCAGGGCUACAGCAGAGUGAACAGCAUGAAGGUGCUAAGCCUGUUGCAAAUGGGCUGUGCCUUCUUCAGAGAGACUACACCAGUCACAAGGGACCUGAACAGAAACAGGGACAGAGCUCAGCUGCUUCAGAACUUUUUCCCAGAAAGCCGUCCUGGGACCUGACCCUUUAAAUAUGGCAGAGACACAAAGCUGCAGUCCUAAGGUGGCCAUUUUGUAACUUGCUGCUGCUCACUACAUCUCCCUCUUUGCCAGCUGCUUUGCAACAGCCAUCAGCAAAGAUGCCAAUGACAGACCCAGAUAUCACUGCCAGGAAAAAAUACUUUCCUGAACUUAACAUCUGGGUCCUGCAGCUGAAAGGAGCAGAAGAAAAAGGGGAAACAGUACAGACUGUCAUCAAAAGGAUGUGAUGGUGCCAAAUUAGCAUGGAAAUUACAUACAGAUGCCAUUUUUGACUUCAGACAAAUGGCUGGGCUAUUUCAGAAAAACAAAAGUGCUUAGAAAGGAAUGAUUGGUGAAUGAAUGUUGAUUUUUGUAGCUGUACAAAACAGGGUUAUAACUAGUGACAUGACGUUUUUGAAGUCCUACUGCCCAAUUAGGUAAUUUUUUAAUUUGAGCAAACAUAUUAAAAAGCCAAUACACAAAAGAAAAGAAAAGAUGGAGAAAACCAAUGGUUCUUCUAAUCAUUGCAUCACUUAAGCUGCUCAGGGCACAGUGUGACACUUCCUCUGAAAAGACCCUAUUAUCUGAAAAAUCACAAUUAAUCAAAAUUAGUCAGCUAGCUGGGGUUGUAGUAAAGGAAAUUGGAAAGGCUACUGUACCAGAAACCCUGUUUUAGUGGCCCAUUGAAGUCAGUGGGCAUCUCCAGUUGGCAUUGGAUCAGGUUCUAGGCCAGAGUCUCUCCUUUUUGAAGGUUAUACAUCCAAGAGGAGAGAAGGGGUUGUUGGAGCUAGGAUUCUUGAGAACACUGAGAUUUGAAUGGGGAAAUGGGUGCACUGGGUACACCUUUAUUUUUUUUUACAGAAAACUGGAGGAAAUGCAGUUUUUAAGUGUAAGAGAUAAGCAAAAGGGAGAUAACGCAACAGUGCUCUCACUGGAACAUUUUUGCACUGUGAACUCAAAAGCCUGAGCAUUAAAAUUUCUUUGUUGGCCUGAUAAAAAGUAUAACACUAUCUGCUUUGUUCUUAAAAUCCUUCUCAUACCAGAGGUGGUGGAACAAUUUGUGCGGGGGGUGCUGAGAGUCAUUGAACCAAACUGUAAACCCUAUAUAUGAUGGAAAACACUUCAAGCCAGGAGGUGCGGAAGUGCCCCCCCCACCCCCGCACCCUUAGUUCCAGCAUCUAUGUCUCAUAUCAUGCCUCUUCUUGUCAUAACUGGAUGGGUAACAGUAUUUGCUUUUUAUCUUCCAGUAUAAAAAGAAACUGAAGCCAGUGAUUUAGGUGGUUGCUGCUUUUUAUCUUUCAUGACUACAGUUAGAGAAUGUGUCACAAAGUAAUAGACUAUAAAACUAAUUAAAAAAAUUCUAUGCAUUUUAGAAGAUCUUGUUUCCAAUUUAUAUUUUUUUUAUGGUUGUACCUGAAAUUACUGUAUACUAAUGUGUAGGAUACAUUUCUGAUAGUUGUUCAUGUUAGAGUCAACAAAGAAGUUCA